Triticum urartu is the source of this 1191-nucleotide non-coding RNA. Lineage: Eukaryota; Viridiplantae; Streptophyta; Magnoliopsida; Poales; Poaceae. The record is from RefSeq and is a predicted model, not a curated record.
CCACUACAGACAUACAACCGAAACUACAUCUAGAACUACAGAAGUUACACUGAAAACUGAAACAAACUAACGGUAAACAAGAAGUUUAUUAUAACAUAAGUUUGUGUCUCGUUCAUUUUUUGGUUUCGCAAAAAGUUGAGGGCUGGUCAGAGUUGAGCUGAAACCAGACCCUCAGAGCUGAGGCCAUGUAAAAUGGUCAUGGCAGUUGAACUAAUUCCAUGGAAUUCUUGUAAAGACAUCCGGACGUUCAACAAUAAAAGAUACAUAAGUACAUGUAUGUGCUGACAUGUUGAACCAAGUCAUUUUACAUUUAAUGCCUUUGGUCUUGUUCUUGGCAGAUUUUCUAUAAUGCUUUGGUAUUUUUGCUCGACUCAAGUGCCCGGUUUGGGCAACUAGAUGAUAUAAGUUCAUGUUGUGGAUAGGUGAUGGAUAAAAUGGUGCUAAUUACAGCAGUUCAAAGAUUCUUUUUAACACUACUGUAGCACUUCAAAUAAUGUUUUUGGGCGACAAUGUUUAUGCUUUUUUGUAUUACAAGUUACAAAAGUGUUGGACUUAUCAGUUGUGACCUACUUUGGUUCUGAGAAAGAGCUCCUCAAAUGCAUGUCACAUGUUUUUGCUUGAGCUGGCCUUAACUUCUAGUUCUGUUUGCACUCUAUGAUGGCAACGUGUUCUAGUGCAAGUCUACUAAUAUAUCAUCUUUAUUUUGGCUCUACAAUGGUUGCAAACUAGAAAUGUUCUCCACCUCAAACGUACUCCAUUCUUCCAUUUUUAUAGCUAUUUUAUUUUGUUCCUUGUUCACUCGCAACCCACUGUUAGUUCACUCGCAAACUGCAAUAGCGGCCACAACUAAGGGCAUUUGCUUCCAGCACAGGAGCUACAUGCUCGACGGUUGCGCACUGCCGCCAUGGACAUGCACAAAGAUAUUAAGUACAAGUGAAUGAAGCCGCGGUGCCAGCAGCCACCUGCGCUACAGAAAACAAGUGUUUGCAGUUUGCUCACCAGAAUGUUGAAUGAGACUACAUCAUUAUUACUCAAAAAAAUUCAUUUUGCAUUUGUUCAGAAUUGUUCUCUGUAUCCGUGGCAAAUAAUGUUUUUUUUUCUGGUUUAAUGCAAUACUCCUGUGGAAGCACUAAAACGCGCUACCUGUUGAACUGAUACUGAAGACAAGGAGCAGGACCAAGUGUGCUGGAA